Molecule: ribosomal RNA, 484 nt
Filed under: uncultured bacterium
Lineage: Bacteria
Description: partial 16S ribosomal RNA
Rfam family: Bacterial small subunit ribosomal RNA
Source: RNAcentral
AUUGAACGCUGGCGGCAGGCCUAACACAUGCAAGUCGAGCGGAUGAAGGGAGCUUGCUCCUGGAUUCAGCGGCGGACGGGUGAGUAAUGCCUAGGAAUCUGCCUGGUAGUGGGGGAUAACGUCCGGAAACGGGCGCUGAUACCGCAUACGUCCUGAGGGAGAAAGUGGGGGAUCUUCGGACCUCACGCUAUCAGAUGAGCCUAGGUCGGAUUAGCUAGUUGGUGGGGUAAAGGCCUACCAAGGCGACGAUCCGUAACUGGUCUGAGAGGAUGAUCAGUCACACUGGAACUGAGACACGGUCCAGACUCCUACGGGAGGCAGCAGUGGGGAAUAUUGGACGAUGGGCGAAAGCCUGAUCCAGCCAUGCCGCGUGUGUGAAGAAGGUCUUCGGAUUGUAAAGCACUUUAAGUUGGGAGGAAGGGCAGUAAGUUAAUACCUUGCUGUUUUGACGUUACCAACAGAAUAAGCACCGGCUAACUUCGUG